UACAGAGGAGCCAAGCGUUGUCCGGAUUGACUGGGCGUAAAGCGCACGCAGGCGGAUGCGCGCGUGGGGUGUGAAAUCUGGCCGCUUAACGGCCAGGCGCCAUCCCAUGCGGCGUGUCUGGAGGGCUGCAGAGGUCGAUGGAAUUGCCGGUGUAGUGGUGAAAUGCGUAGAGAUCGGCAGGAACACCCAGGGGGAAACCAGUCGACUGGGCAGCACCUGACGCUGAGGUGCGAGAGCGUGGGGAGCGAACCGG
Molecule: ribosomal RNA, 253 nt
Filed under: uncultured bacterium
Lineage: Bacteria
Description: partial 16S ribosomal RNA
Rfam family: Bacterial small subunit ribosomal RNA
Source: RNAcentral